This is a long non-coding RNA of Gossypium arboreum, 855 nucleotides long. RefSeq lists it as uncharacterized. Lineage: Eukaryota; Viridiplantae; Streptophyta; Magnoliopsida; Malvales; Malvaceae. The record is from RefSeq and is a predicted model, not a curated record. The transcript is spliced from 3 exons.
GCCGUGACUUGAGAAGCAAAAGAAAAGAAGAAAUCGGUUCUUCUUAGCUGAAAUGAAAAGAAGAAGAAAGGAAUGAAGCUAGAAAGGAGAGGGCAGCUGCAUGUAGUGGAAAACCAUGGAAUUUGUUUGCUUAGAAGUUAAAAUUUUCAAGUAGAAGGGUAACUCUUCUAAACUCUCCCUUGCCCAUAGCUUUUCGUUGACAAAUUCUGGUUGCAUUGUUGAUUUGAGCUUGACGAAUAUGUGGGAGAAGAGAAGAUUCUCUUUUCUAGUUGCAAAUGUUGCAUGUCUAGUAGAUGAAGAGUUUCUCACUUGUGUUAAAAGAAUCUAGUGAAUGCUUGUGUUGUUAUAAUCUAUUUUUGUAACUUUGGGGUUGAUUGUAUUUAGCUAACAAGGUAGGAGAAGGUGGUAGUAGACAAGGGAAAGAGCAAAUUGAAUAGGUGGAAUCGGUGUUGGGAACCUUGCUUAAGAGCAAAGAGGAUCAAAGUCGGAUAGGGGAAAAGAGAGUAAACGAAUAGCCGUGGACAUCUAAUCGUCGACCACUCCCGAGAUUUUGCUCGUUAGCUAUCGGAUUCGGGAUCAUUGAAGUCGAAGUCAUCCACACUAUCAAAGCCCCCAUUUUGGUACAAUUUUGGUUGAACUUUGAAAUGGCAUGUAUAGGACUACCCUUUUGUUGUAGGUUAUGUACCUUUCGGUUUUGUGUAAAUUCGGAUAGCCAUGCGAAAAUGGCUUAUAUACGUUUCUAGCAUAGUACUAUAAUCGUUUGUAUGUUGAUCAUUAUGAGGUAUGGAAUUGUUUUGAAACGAUUAGCCAUUGGAAUGGUUAAUCAUGAUCACACCUUGUGCUAUGUAUGCAAAA